Molecule: ribosomal RNA, 253 nt
Filed under: uncultured bacterium
Lineage: Bacteria
Description: partial 16S ribosomal RNA
Rfam family: Bacterial small subunit ribosomal RNA
Source: RNAcentral
UACGUAGGGUGCGAGCGUUAAUCGGAAUUACUGGGCGUAAAGGGCGCGUAGGCGGGAUGGCAAGUCAGUCGUGAAAUCUCUCGGCUCAACCGAGAAACGUCGGCUGAUACUGCCGUUCUUGAGGGAUGCAGAGGAGACUGGAAUUCCCGGUGUAGCGGUGAAAUGUGUAGAGAUCGGGAGGAACACCGGUGGCGAAGGCGGGUCUCUGGGCAUCUCCUGACGCUGAGGCGCGAAAGCGUGGGGAGCAAACGGG